This 133-nucleotide small RNA is filed under the name Klebsiella aerogenes. RNAcentral's name for it is "RtT sRNA". It matches the Rfam family "RtT RNA". From Rfam's summary of the family: This family represents a bacterial cis-regulatory element known as RtT RNA. The exact function of RtT is unknown although it is thought that it may be involved in changing the cellular response in relation to amino acid starvation. The record is from RNAcentral. Lineage: Bacteria; Pseudomonadati; Pseudomonadota; Gammaproteobacteria; Enterobacterales; Enterobacteriaceae.
UAUUCUGCCCCGCGGGGAAGGAUGAGAAGCUUCGACUAAGGUUCGACUCGAGCGUCAGCGAGAGAACGUUGCCGCAGGCAACGGCCCGAAGGGCGAGGCGCUUUAGCGCCGAGUAAUCCUUCCCCCACCACCA